GAUCAUGGCUCAGGAUGAACGCUAGCUACAGGCUUAACACAUGCAAGUCGAGGGGCAGCGGGAUUGAAGCUUGCUUCAAUUGCCGGCGACCGGCGCACGGGUGAGUAACGCGUAUCCAACCUUCCGUACACUCAGGGAUAGCCUUUCGAAAGAAAGAUUAAUACCUGAUGGUAUCUUAAGCACACAUGUAAUUAAGAUUAAAGAUUUAUCGGUGUACGAUGGGGAUGCGUUCCAUUAGGUGG
This 242-nucleotide ribosomal RNA is filed under the name uncultured bacterium. RNAcentral's name for it is "partial 16S ribosomal RNA". It matches the Rfam family "Bacterial small subunit ribosomal RNA", at positions 15 to 248 of the family's 1533-position model. The record is from RNAcentral.